RNAcentral lists this ribosomal RNA (470 nucleotides) under Aleiodes cariniventris. Its description in RNAcentral is "eukaryotic LSU rRNA". The record is from RNAcentral. Lineage: Eukaryota; Metazoa; Arthropoda; Insecta; Hymenoptera; Braconidae.
UGGGGGGGGAAACCCAAAAGAUCGAAUGGGGAGAUUCAUCGUCAGCUCAUUUUGUAUAUGUAUAAGUUACGAUGCGGGUUACUACUUGUAGUAUUGCCUGCACGUUCUUGUAUAUUUUGUUGCAAGAUGUUGUCGGCGUGCACUUCUCCCCUAGUAGGACGUCGCGACCCGUUGGGUGUCGGUCUACGGCCCAAGUGAUAGCCUUUAAUGUAAUUUAAAAAUCAUUGAAGAUCCUUGGUGUUUUCUGACCGGCUACUUGGCGGUACUCGUACGGUAUUUAGCCGCUAAUUUAUUAGCGUCCAUGUCCGUCACAAGCGAGGCCAAUUUACUGAUAGUGCGGACCUAGUGCCGUCGUUAGUAUUGGCCAGCUGUUGGUUGUACGUGAUUCUGGGACUGGCUAAAAUUAUUUACCGGUCGGCGACGCUACUGCUUUGGGUACUUUCAGGACCCGUCUUGAAACACGGACCAAA